UGCCUCGGCAGGUCGCGUCUACCUCGUAGCGCCCUACCCUGUAGGGCCUACCCGGCAGACCCGGGUAAGCCUGCCGGCGGCCCACGAAACUCUGUUUAAUAUUGAAUUCUGAACCUAUAACUAAAUAAGUUAAAACUUUCAACAACGGAUCUCUUGGUUCUGGCAUCGAUGAAGAACGCAGCGAAAUGCGAUAAGUAAUGUGAAUUGCAGAAUUCAGUGAAUCAUCGAAUCUUUGUAUUCUAGUGGGCAUGCCUGUUCGAGCGUCAUUUCAACCCUUAAGCCUCUGUUGCUUAGUGUUGGGAGCCUACGGUAUAGUAGCUCCUCAAAGUUAGUGGCGGAGUCGGUUCACACUCUAGACGUAGUAGAUUCUAUCUCUAUUAGUUGGACCGGUCCCUUGCCGUAAUUUUUAAAGGUUGACCUCGGAUCAGGU
RNAcentral lists this ribosomal RNA (430 nucleotides) under Xylaria sp. 1-26-ITS1F. Its description in RNAcentral is "eukaryotic LSU rRNA". The stretch from base 134 to 266 matches the Rfam family "5.8S ribosomal RNA". The record is from RNAcentral. Lineage: Eukaryota; Fungi; Ascomycota; Sordariomycetes; Xylariales; Xylariaceae.